RNAcentral lists this ribosomal RNA (669 nucleotides) under marine sediment metagenome. RNAcentral's name for it is "bacterial SSU rRNA". It matches the Rfam family "Archaeal small subunit ribosomal RNA", at positions 799 to 1467 of the family's 1478-position model. The record is from RNAcentral.
UGCCGCAGGGAAACCAUUAAGCCCGCCGCCUGGGGAGUACGGCCGCAAGGCUGAAACUUAAAGGAAUUGGCGGGGGAGCACCACAAGGCGUGAAGCUUGCGGUUUAAUUGGAGUCAACGCCGGGAACCUUACCGGGGGCGACAGCAGGAUGAAGGCCAGAUUGAAGGUCUUGCUGGACAAGCUGAGAGGAGGUGCAUGGCCGUCGCCAGUUCGUGCCGUGAGGUGUCCUGUUAAGUCAGGCAACGAUCGAGACCCGCACCCUUAGUUGCAACCUGGUACGGAUUACCGUUCAGGGCACACUAAGGGAACUGCCGCCGACAAGGCGGAGGAAGGAGCGGGCCACGGCAGGUCAGUAUGCCCCGAAUCCCCCGGGCCACACGCGAGCUGCAAUGGUAGGGACAAUGGGUUCCAACCUUGAAAAAGGGAGGCAAUCCCCAAACCCUGCCUCAGUUGGGAUCGAGGGCUGCAACUCGCCCUCGUGAACAUGGAAUGCCUAGUAAUCGCGCGUCAUCAUCGCGCGGUGAAUACGUCCCCGCUCCUUGCACACACCGCCCGUCGCUCCAUCCGAGUGGGGUUUGGGUGAGGCGUGGUCUUGUUGGCCGCGUCGAACCUAAGCUUCGCGAGGAGGGAGAAGUCGUAACAAGGUGGCCGUAGGGGAACCUGCGGCCG